UCCCCAUGAAGAAACAUUCACAUGUCUUACUUCCUGUCCUAGCUCCAGAGCCUGAAAAGGUGAACCCACUGGGGCUGGCUGGGGGAUAAGAGGAACAUUUGUUCCAGAAGGAACUGUCUGAGGGAU
Molecule: small nucleolar RNA, 126 nt
Organism: Meriones unguiculatus (Mongolian gerbil)
Lineage: Eukaryota; Metazoa; Chordata; Mammalia; Rodentia; Muridae
Gene: SNORD22
Rfam family: Small nucleolar RNA SNORD22
About the family: U22 is a member of the C/D class of snoRNA which contain the C (UGAUGA) and D (CUGA) box motifs.
Source: Ensembl